GGAAGUAAGCUAUGCCGCCAUCGAGAAGGAAUGCCUGGCGGUAGUGUGGGCCCUCAAGAAACUACAGCCCUACUUAUAUGGACAACAAUUUGCCUUGCUCACAGAUCACAACCCGUUGGUGUGGCUAAACUGGGUGUAAGGGGACAACGCUAGACUACUGAGAUGGAGCUUGGCACUACAACCAUUUGAUUUCACCAUCCAGGGAAACAAAAUGGUAACGCCGACGGGUUGUCCAGACAGAC
This is a non-coding RNA of Pelobates cultripes (western spadefoot toad), 242 nucleotides long. The record is from the annotation of a GenBank genome assembly. Lineage: Eukaryota; Metazoa; Chordata; Amphibia; Anura; Pelobatidae.